Molecule: long non-coding RNA, 388 nt
Organism: Ctenocephalides felis (cat flea)
Lineage: Eukaryota; Metazoa; Arthropoda; Insecta; Siphonaptera; Pulicidae
Exons: 2
Source: RefSeq, a predicted model, not a curated record
UUUAUUCGGGCUUAUAAAUGUAGCUUCAUUUCAGUAUUUCAAUUAUGACAUGAUUUAGUUUCCUACGAGAUUCAGCUAUUAUUUUGAUAAAGAGUGAAAAGAUUGACUGAUAUAGAUAUAUUUUUUGUGAAUCUUCAAGAUUUUGUUACCAAAAGCCUUGAAUCACCACAUGAUGAAGAGAUCCUAAGAAGACAAGACUCUAUAUCCUUGAUCCUAGAAGUCAAAUGUCCAUAGUACUCCUCGUAGAUGUCCAGGAUAGCAGAAUCCAUCCUCACAAGAGUGGAAAUAACCAUAAAAAUAUACCUCACUUUAAAAACAAGUGUUUUGAAUUAUGACAUGUUUUAAUAUAUUGUUAUAUUAAUAAAUGCUUCACCAAUUCUUCUAUUAA